GAUGAACGCUAGCGGCAGGCCUAAUACAUGCAAGUCGAACGGAUAUAUGUUUUUCGGAAUAUAUAUUAGUGGCGCACGGGUGAGUAACACGUACAUAACUUGCCCUCAAGCGGGGGAUAGCCUUGGGAAACUGAGAGUAAUACCCCAUAGAAUUAUUGGACGGCAUCGUUUGAUAAUUAAAACUACGGUGUUUGGGGAUAGAUGUGCGUCUGAUUAGCUAGUUGGUGAGGUAACUGCUCACCAAGGCGACGAUCAGUAGGGGGCGUGAGAGCGUGGCCCCCCACACGGGUACUGAGACACGGACCCGACUCCUACGGGAGGCAGCAGUAAGGAAUAUUGGUCAAUGGAGGGAACUCUGAACCAGCCAUGCCGCGUGAAGGAUGACGGCCCUCUGGGUUGUAAACUUCUUUUGGAUGGGGCGAAAAAACGGGAUUUAUCCUGGACUGACGGUACCAUCAGAAUAAGCACCGGCUAACUCCGUGCCAGCAGCCGCGGUAAUGU
RNAcentral lists this ribosomal RNA (501 nucleotides) under uncultured bacterium. Its description in RNAcentral is "bacterial SSU rRNA". It matches the Rfam family "Bacterial small subunit ribosomal RNA", at positions 28 to 526 of the family's 1533-position model. The record is from RNAcentral.